Molecule: ribosomal RNA, 468 nt
Filed under: uncultured bacterium
Lineage: Bacteria
Description: partial 16S ribosomal RNA
Rfam family: Bacterial small subunit ribosomal RNA
Source: RNAcentral
GACGAACGCUGGCGGCGUGCUUAACACAUGCAAGUCGAACGGAAAGGCCCUGCUUUUGUGGGGUGCUCGAGUGGCGAACGGGUGAGUAACACGUGAGUAACCUGCCCUUGACUUUGGGAUAACUUCAGGAAACUGGGGCUAAUACCGGAUAGGAGCCCCUGCUGCAUGGUGGGCGUUGGAAAGUUUCGGCGGUUGGGGAUGGACUCGCGGCUUAUCAGCUUGUUGGUGGGGUAGUGGCUUACCAAGGCUUUGGCGGGUAGCCGGCCUGUGAGGGUGACCGGCCACAUUGGGACUGAGAGACGGCCCAGACGCCUACGGGAGGCAACAGUGGGGAAUAUUGCACAAUGGGAGGAAGCCUGAUGCAGCAACGCCGCGUGCGUGAUGACGGCCUUCGGGUUGUAAACCGCUGUCGCCUGUGACGAAGCGUGAGUGACGGUAAUGGGUAAAGAAGCACCGGCUAACUACGUG